CGGGUGGUAAUGCCGGAUGCUCCGACAUGACGCAUGUCGUGUCGGGAAAGAUUCAUCGGUAUGGGAUGGGGUCGCGUCCUAUCAGCUUGAUGGCGGGGUAACGGCCCACCAUGGCUUCGACGGGUAGCCGGCCUGAGAGGGCGACCGGCCACAUUGGGACUGAGAUACGGCCCAGACUCCUACGGGAGGCAGCAGUGGGGAAUAUUGCACAAUGGGCGCAAGCCUGAUGCAGCGACGCCGCGUGCGGGAUGACGGCCUUCGGGUUGUAAACCGCUUUUGACUGGGAGCAAGCCCUUCGGGGUGAGUGUACCUUUCGAAUAAGCACCGGCUAACUACGUGCCAGCAGCCGCGGUAAUACGUAGGGUGCAAGCGUUAUCCGGAAUUAUUGGGCGUAAAGGGCUCGUAGGCGGUUCGUCGCGUCCGGUGUGAAAGUCCAUCGCUUAACGGUGGAUCCGCGCCGGGUACGGGCGGGCUUGAGUGCGGUAGGGGAGACUGGAAUUCCCGGUGUAACGGUGGAAUGUGUAGAUAUCG
This 531-nucleotide ribosomal RNA is filed under the name Bifidobacterium adolescentis. Its description in RNAcentral is "bacterial SSU rRNA". It matches the Rfam family "Bacterial small subunit ribosomal RNA", at positions 157 to 699 of the family's 1533-position model. Lineage: Bacteria; Bacillati; Actinomycetota; Actinomycetes; Bifidobacteriales; Bifidobacteriaceae. The record is from RNAcentral.